Long non-coding RNA from Oncorhynchus masou masou (cherry salmon), 3608 nucleotides. RefSeq lists it as uncharacterized. Lineage: Eukaryota; Metazoa; Chordata; Actinopteri; Salmoniformes; Salmonidae. The record is from RefSeq and is a predicted model, not a curated record. The transcript has 2 exons.
UCUCACUCCGUCUCCCCCAGUCUCACUCUGUCUCCCCAGUCUCACUCUGUCUCACCCAGUCUCACUCUGUCUCACCCAGUCUCACUCUGUCUCCCCAGUCUCACUCUGUCUCCCCCAGUCUCACUCUGUCUCCCCCAGUCUCACACUGUCUCCCCCAGUCUCACUCUGUCUCCCCCAGUCUCACUCUGUCUCCCCCAGUCUCACUCUGUCUCCCCCAGUCUCACUCUGUCUCCCCAGUCUCACUCCGUCUCACCCAGUCUCACCCAGUCUCACUCUGUCUCACCCAGUCUCACUCUGUCUCCCCCAGUCUCACACUGUCUCCCCCAGUCUCACUCUGUCUCCCCCAGUCUCACUCUGUCUCCCCCAGUCUCACUCUGUCUCCCCCAGUCUCACUCUGUCUCCCCAGUCUCACUCCGUCUCCCCCAGUCUCACUCCGUCUCACCCAGUCUCACCCAGUCUCACUCCGUCUCCCCCAGUCUCACCCAGUCUCACUCUGUCUCCCCCAGUCUCACACUGUCUCCCCCAGUCUCACACUGUCUCCCCCAGUCUCACUCUGUCUCCCCCAGUCUCACUCUGUCUCCCCCAGUCUCACUCUGUCUCCCCCAGUCUCACUCUGUCUCCCCCAGUCUCACUCUGUCUCCCCCAGUCUCACUCCGUCUCCCCCAGUCUCACUCCGUCUCACCCAGUCUCACUCCGUCUCACCCAGUCUCCCCCAGUCUCACUCUGUCUCCCCCAGUCUCACUCUGUCUCACCCAGUCUCACUCCGUCUCACCCAGUCUCACUCUGUCUCCCCCAGUCUCACUCUGUCUCCCCCAGUCUCACUCUGUCUCCCCCAAUCUCACUUUGUCUCCCACAGUCUCACUCUGUCUCCCAAGCUAACGGGCUAACGGUUAACUAGCUACUUCCAGACACAAAUGAGACAAUAUCUCACUCUGACCAUUUUACUCACACUAGCAGAGCUAGUUAGGCUGUUUUCAUGUUAUCUAGAGUGUCGGUGACUGUAACUGUGCUGCUGGCAACAAUUGAAUUACGUAGUUUUUUUUGCCCGACGUUUACUGACACCGGACAUAUUCAACGGGUGUUGAGCGUUUGAAUCCGUUAUUCUGCGCUCUGACACACUCAGACGAGAGUACUUUGAAAUCAGAGUAGAUGUUGGUUUAACCCAAAGCUACCGGACGGUAACUAUGGCUACCUGAGGGUUACUAUGGCUACCUAAGGGUUACAAUGGGUACCUGAUAGUUACUAUGGCUACCUAAGGGUUACAAUGGGUACCUGAUAGUUACUAUGGCUACCUAAUGGUUACAAUGGCUACCUGAUAGUUACUAUGGCUACCUAAGGGUUACAAUGGCUACCUGAUAGUUACUAUGGCUACCUAAGGGUUACACUGGCUACCUGAUAGUUACUAUGGCUACCUAAGGGUUACAAUGGGUACCUGAUAGUUACUAUGGCUACGUAAGGGUUACAAUGGCUACCUGAUAGUUACUAUGGCUACCUAAGGGUAACAAUGGCUACCUGAUAGUUACUAUGGCUACCUAAGGGUUACUAUGGCUACCUGAUAGUUACUAGGGCUACCUAAGGGUAACAAUGGCUACCUGAUAGUUACUAUGGCUACCUAAGGGUUACUAUGGCUACCUGAUAGGUACUAUGGCUACGUAAGGGUUACUAUGGCUACCUGAUAGUUACUAUGGCUACCUAAGGGUCACACCACACUCAAACGUACAUGUGGCUCAAAGCACAGUGUUGCUAUUAUAUAAUAUUGUUUAAACGUGUGUAUUCUUUUAUUUUAUUGUUAUGUAUAAGACCUUUGCACUAAUAUUAACGUGUUCUUGUAUUUUUAGGCUUAUUUUAUAUUUUUUUGUGUUUGUUUGAAUGACAUUUCAUGUGUUCUCGGGGCUCUAUUCAAUCCGCAUUGCGGAAGUUCAGCUUUACAGUGUGAUUUAAACAGUUUGUUCUUAUCUGACUAGUUUAAAUAAAGGUUACAUUAAAAAAAAAUAUAUAUAUAUAUAUAAAUGUAAAGGCAAUGUUCCCGCUUAAGCGAAGACUUACCUCACGGUAAACGAUGCAUGUGUCGUUUACAUUUCCAUCACGGAAUCUGUGACGCUUCUUCAGCUUCCCAGAUUGAAUAGAGCCCCCUUUUGUAGGUCUUUUACCUUGUCAAUGCAACAGUCUGCAUGGACCACAAAGCACCACGUCAGGCGGACAUUUCAUAGUAGGAGGAACGUUCUAGCAUUUAUCUACAUGUUGUUCCGCGCCAGUAAAGACGUGAUGUACAUGAUCCUGCUCUAUCUUUGGUACUUUACAUUCUAACUCAAUGGAGACAGCCGGUACGGCAGUGUACAGGUAGACAGCUGGUACGGUAGUGUACAGGUAGACAGCUGGUACGGCAGUGUACAGGUAGACAGCCAGUACAGUAGUGUACAGGUAGACAGCCGGUACGGUAGUGUACAGGUAGACAGCUGGUAUGAUAGUGUACAGGUAGACAGCUGGUACAGUAGUGUACAGGUAGACAGCUUGUACGGUAGUGUACAGGUAGACAGCUAGUACAGUAGUUUACAGGUAGUGCACAGGUAGACAGCUGGUAGACAGCUGGUACGGUAGUGUACAGGUAGACAGCUGGUACGGUAGUGUACAGGUAGACAGCUGGUAGACAGCUGGUACGGUAGUAUACAGGUAGACAGCUGGUACGGUAGUGUACAGGUAGACAGCUGGUACGGUAGUGUACAGGUAGACAGCUGGUAGACAGCUGUUACGGUGGUGUACAGGUAGACAGCUGGUAGACAGCUGGUACGGUAGUGUACAGGUAGACAGCUGGUACGGUAGUGUACAGGUAGACAGCUGGUAGACAGCUGGUACGGUGGUGUACAGGUAGACAGCAGGUACGGUGGUGUACAGGUAGACAGCUGGUACGGUAGUGUACAGGUAGACAGCCAGUACAGUAGUGUACAGGUAGACAGCUGGUACAGUGGUGUACAGGUAGACAGCUGGUACGGUAGUGUACAGGUAGACAGCCAGUACAGUAGUGUACAGGUAGACAGCUGGUACAGUGGUGUAUUAGAAUGAAGUCACGUGAAUCAUGUAUUGAUGAGGCUUUUCCUCUCCAUAUAUUCUUUAUAUGUUGUUCAGUACACCAUAACGCACAUACAUUAGGCUCAAUUAUGCUUUUGCCCCACAACAAUGUUAUAAAUGAGUUCAACUUAUUUUUCACAAUGUGAAUUUGUAAAUACUUCAUUUUUUUAUUAUUAUUUUUUUUUUUUUUUUACAACUAACCAAAAUUGUAAUUGUAAAAUAUUAAGACAAAAUAAAAUUCUAAUUUUGUAAGUACAGUAUGUAGCAAUUAUAUAGCGAUAUUCCCCCAAUGCACCGAUAUGGAACAUCCUCUAUCCUGACUUACAGAGUCUUAACAUAUCAUGCAGUCAGUAGAGGCAGUAUUCUGUGAUCUGAUUGGUUUAUAAAUGAUGCUCAUUGGUUUCCAUGUAGUUGACGGGGAGAUGAAGAAUAUGUUACGGUGACAGUCACAUGUUAUUGUCACUUCUAUGGUUUAAAAAAAAAUAAUAAUAAUUUUUUAUACUUAUUUUGUAUGAAAUAAAAUGUGUACAGUGUAUUCCUUA